Long non-coding RNA from Cyprinus carpio carpio, 1293 nucleotides. Lineage: Eukaryota; Metazoa; Chordata; Actinopteri; Cypriniformes; Cyprinidae. The record is from Ensembl.
AAUAUUUCACGGGCUUCAGCGACGUGUCAGCAAUUUUCUCAGAUUGGGUUUUUUAAUCUCACACAGAGUGAUUGUCACUCACGUGAACAAACACCGAUUUGCCUCUGAUUUCAGGCAUUUGUCAGCGAUAUUGCAAAACCUGUCAGUGAGUGAAAAUCUGGGCCGAAAUUGUGCAGUGUGAACUCGGCCUAAGUGCACCUGUGCCAUGCGCUUAGAUUAUUAAAAUAGGGCCCUGAGAGUGAGUGAACAAAACAGCUUGUCAUAAAGAAUACAGAGUAUAUAAACUUAUGUGGACUUAACAUUGGUGUACUUAAACUUCAUCCACAAGUGCAAAAAGUUCUAACAGUGCAUUGUACUAGUAAGGGGAUAUGCCAAAUACAUUGUUAACAUUUGUGGCAUUUGUUGAUCAAUAAAGAAGUAAUCAGCCCUCCAAUAUAUGUUAAAAACUGUUAGUGAUGAAGUUUCCCACCUUCAUCUGCACCAAUCCUGGAGAUUUACAAUCUCCACUCUACACACCUGAUCCAGCUGAUUAAGAUCUUCAGAAACAAGAGUACUGACCAGGAUUUGAACUAAACUCUGCAGGAAGUUAUAUCUCCAGGAACAGGAUUGAUAAACACUGAAUUAGACAUUAUCAGAAGAUCUUAAAUGGAUUAAGCUAUCACAUAUUACUGUGCGUUUUUGCAUUUGUUGAAAAGGGCAGAUAUAUUGACACUCGAACCCGAUAGGACAAGGUGUUUGAAAAAAAAAAAAUACAGAUGAAUUUGACAAGUUUAUUAGUUGAAGAGUCAAACCUAAUGAAAGAAACAGUGAGAACCUUAUCAUAUCAGAUAAUUAAUUUUCUGCAUUGUUUCAAUAUCUGUCUCUGCUGGGAGGUAAAACUCCAGGUGACCCUGUGAGACGAAUGAUGAGAUAAAACGGAACCAGUGCCCUUUGAGCCAAUUAGAGUUUGAAGGGUCGAAAGGGGAAAAAGGAAUUUUCAGGACCUGGCGAUAUAUCCCGCCAUAAUCUGUCUGCCACAAAAUCCAUUCCACAACUCUGCAGAAGAUGGUUGAAAACUGUAUAGCGGAUGCACUGAGAUAUGCUCCUCCCAGAGGGACUCAGAUUUGGAGUUUUGGAAAUCAUCCAGUCGCAAGAUCUUCGCAAUUAAAAGCAUUGAGUUGGUGAAACUUAAAAGACAAGAGAAUGUGUCUAAAAAGAAAAGGGGCAUAAUGAAGGACAUCUUCUGGAUGAAAGUCGAUCAGUGUGUCAUGACCCUGCAGGAGCACCAGAGGGGGUUACCUGAUUGAAUCUUUU